CAGCAGCCGCGGUAAUACGUAGGUGGCAAGCGUUGUCCGGAAUUAUUGGGCGUAAAAGGCUCGCAGGCGGUUUCUUAAGUCUGAUGUGAAAGCCCCCGGCUCAACCGGGGAGGGUCAUUGGAAACUGGGAAACUUGAGUGCAGAAGAGGAGAGUGGAAUUCCACGUGUAGCGGUGAAAUGCGUAGAGAUGUGGAGGAACACCAGUGGCGAAGGCGACUCUCUGGUCUGUAACUGACGCUGAGGAGCGAAAGCGUGGGGAGCGAACAGGAUUAGAUACCCCGGUAGUCCCUGUCUCUUAUAC
Molecule: ribosomal RNA, 301 nt
Filed under: uncultured bacterium
Lineage: Bacteria
Description: partial 16S ribosomal RNA
Rfam family: Bacterial small subunit ribosomal RNA
Source: RNAcentral